GUUUAAAUAGCUUAAAAAUAAAGCCCAAUAUUGAAGAUAUUAAGAUACUUGAUAAAAGUUUUAAAUA
This 67-nucleotide transfer RNA is filed under the name Tetraleurodes acaciae (acacia whitefly). RNAcentral describes it as "tRNA-Phe". Lineage: Eukaryota; Metazoa; Arthropoda; Insecta; Hemiptera; Aleyrodidae. The record is from RNAcentral.